UACAGCGUAGGAGAUACACCUGUACCCAUGCCGAACACAGAAGUUAAGCCCUAGAACGCCGGAAGUAGUUGGGGGUUGCCCCCUGUGAGAUAGGGAUGUAC
This 101-nucleotide ribosomal RNA is filed under the name Staphylococcus aureus. The record is from RNAcentral. Lineage: Bacteria; Bacillati; Bacillota; Bacilli; Caryophanales; Staphylococcaceae.